RNAcentral lists this ribosomal RNA (253 nucleotides) under uncultured bacterium. Its description in RNAcentral is "partial 16S ribosomal RNA". It matches the Rfam family "Bacterial small subunit ribosomal RNA", at positions 524 to 776 of the family's 1533-position model. The record is from RNAcentral.
UACGGAGGGUGCAAGCGUUGUCCGGAAUCACUGGGCGUAAAGGGCGCGUAGGCGGCUCGGUAAGUAGGGGGUGAAAUCCUGCGGCUCAACCGCAGGGCUGCCUUCUAAACUGUCGAGCUCGAGCACGGUAGAGGCAGAUGUAAUUCCCGGUGUAGCGGUGGAAUGCGUAGAGAUCGGGAAGAACAUCAGUGGCGAAGGCGGUCUGCUGGGCCGUUGCUGACGCUGAGGCGCGACAGCGUGGGGAGCAAACAGG